GAUCUAGAGAUAGGCUUGAAUUCUAUGUGGAAUCAAUAGGUUAACCAAAGAACUUAAUGGGUUUUAAUUGACUUAAUGCCACGAGAGUAGGUCUUAAUUUAAUUAAAACACAUUUGUGGUGCCUUGAGAGAGGGCUUUAGACUAUUUAGGGUUAAUCUCCUUCAAAGUAAUAAUUUUUCAUUGCUUGAAUAAAUAGGAUUGAAUUCAUAGUUAAUUGGAUGUGUGAACCCCUAACUUUGGAAUGCCUUUAAUCAUCAAUGUUUGAAUUUAGUUAACUUGUUUAGAUUU
RNAcentral lists this long non-coding RNA (288 nucleotides) under Elaeis guineensis (African oil palm). Its description in RNAcentral is "long non-coding RNA (EGUI_LNC071024)". Lineage: Eukaryota; Viridiplantae; Streptophyta; Magnoliopsida; Arecales; Arecaceae. The record is from RNAcentral.